CGGUAAUUCCAGCUCCAAUAGCGUAUACUAAAGUUGUUGCAGUUAAAAAGCUCGUAGUUGGAUUUCUGCGGGGACGGAGCGGCCGGACGCAACUUGCGUCUCGAGCUAGCGCUUUCCCCGCAUCCUGCCGCGAACCGUGCUGCCAUUAGUUUGGUGGCGCUGGGGAUCGGCUCGAUUACUUUGAGAAAAAUAGAGUGUUCAAAGCAGGCCACACGCCUUGAAUAAGUUAGCAUGGAAUAAUGACUAAGGACUUUGGUUCUUUUCGUUGGUGUUCGGGACUGAAGUAAUGAUUGAUAGGGACAGUUGGGGCGGUCCGUAUUCCAAAGCGAGAGGUGAAAUUCUUAGACCUUCGGAAGACGAGCAGCUGCGAAAGCGUUCCGCAAGGAUGUUCCCUUUGAUCAAGAACGAAAGUUGGGGGAUCGAAGACGAUCAGAUACCGUCGUAGUCUCAACUAUAAACUAUACCAGCUAGGGAUCGGCCAACGUUUAAUUAUUCGACUUGGUCGGCACCUUAUGAGAAAUCAAAGCAUCUGGGUUCCGGGGGGAGUAUGGUCGCAAGGCUGAAACUUAAAGGAAUUGACGGAAGGGCACCACCAGCUGUGGAGCCUGUGGCUUAAUUUGACUCAACACGGGAAAACUUACCAGGUCCAGACAUAGGAAGGAUUGACAGAUUGAUAGCUCUUUCUUGAUUCUGUGGGUGGUGGUGCAUGGCCGUUUUUAGUCGGUGAAGUGAUUUGUCUGCUUAAUUGCGUUAACGGACGAGACCCCAGCCUGCUAAAUAGCGCGGCCGAGCUUUGCUCGGUGCGAGCUUCUUAGAGGGACCAUGAUGCGCGAUAGCACAAGGAAGUUUGGGGCAACAACAGGUCUGUGAUGCCCUUAGAUGUUCUGGGCCGCACGCGGGCUACACUGGCGCCUGCAUCGAGCAUAUCAGCUGGCCCGAGAGGGUCUUGGCUAAUCUUUUGAACCGGCGCCGUGCUUGGGAUUGACCUUUGCAAUUGUUGGUCAUGCAACGAGGAAUGCCUUGUAAACGCGAGACAUCAGCUCGCAUUGAAUACGUCCCUGCCCUUUGUACACACCGCCCGUCGCUCCUACCGAUGAAUGUUCCGAUGAAAUUUUCGGAGAGUGCCUGUGAAGCCGGCCCUGCCUGUCGAACGGGAUGCUCAAAGUCACUUAGAUCUGAACAUUUCGAGGAAGGAGAAGUCGUAACAAGGUAGCCG
This 1216-nucleotide ribosomal RNA is filed under the name uncultured Rhizaria. RNAcentral's name for it is "SSU rRNA". It matches the Rfam family "Eukaryotic small subunit ribosomal RNA", at positions 577 to 1805 of the family's 1831-position model. The record is from RNAcentral.